RNAcentral lists this transfer RNA (71 nucleotides) under Trematomus nicolai (spotted notothen). RNAcentral describes it as "tRNA-Trp". It matches the Rfam family "tRNA". Rfam says of the family: Transfer RNA (tRNA) molecules are approximately 80 nucleotides in length. Their secondary structure includes four short double-helical elements and three loops (D, anti-codon, and T loops). The record is from RNAcentral. Lineage: Eukaryota; Metazoa; Chordata; Actinopteri; Perciformes; Nototheniidae.
AGGGACUUAGGUUAACAGAAGACCAAGAGCCUUCAAAGCUCUAAGUGGGGGUGAGAAUCCCCCAGUCCUUG